Molecule: long non-coding RNA, 306 nt
Filed under: Elaeis guineensis (African oil palm)
Lineage: Eukaryota; Viridiplantae; Streptophyta; Magnoliopsida; Arecales; Arecaceae
Description: long non-coding RNA (EGUI_LNC026532)
Source: RNAcentral
GCCCGGUGCUCGUAUGCCAGCUGGAUCUUCAGUUGUUGCAGCUCAGCCAUCUUUUCCCCGAGGGCGACGAAAAUCCCUUCAACGGUUCCUCUUAGGGACUGGAGCUCAUCAGAAUCCCGAGCGGAAGUAAGCUGAGCCCUGUCAGCCAGCUGCCUCUGAAGACGGGCGACUUCGUCGGUCGCCACCCUGAGUCUCCCUUUAUAUUCAUCCACCUGCCUGCGCCAACCGACCCGGUGCAUGUCGUAGCUCAUCUCGACGUCUUGAAGCUGCUGCUGAAGGGCGGAGACCCUCUUCGACCACUCCCGA